Molecule: long non-coding RNA, 1475 nt
Filed under: Triticum aestivum (bread wheat)
Lineage: Eukaryota; Viridiplantae; Streptophyta; Magnoliopsida; Poales; Poaceae
Description: long non-coding RNA (TAES_LNC003991)
Source: RNAcentral
CCUUUUUAUUUUUUAUUUUGGAAGAAUUUUGUGUUUAUUGAUUCAAUCGGUAUAUUGACACCCUUGUUGCUUGUUGAUACUUGUGAUGGCAAGAUGCUCGCCAGCAGGAGCCAGUGCUAGGUGAAAGACGCUAGGCUUUGAAAGAUGCAAGAGCAGGUGCCCAGAGUGGGCGGAAGCACUCCUUGAGGACAAACUCUGAUGCCGAUAAAGGUGCAAAACAUGACUUUUCUUGCAUUCUACUAUUGCCUUCAUAGUCUACCCCUACCUUGUCGAAAAAACCCGAUUCUACUCAAACCAGAAUAUUUGAAGCUCACUGCCGCUAAACAAGAUAACACACAACCCCAUCCUUUGUUGCUUAUGUACACCCAUCCAAUCCGUUCCCGGCUCGGAUCCAUGAAAAGUUGUUGCACCAUGUGGCAAAACUGGUGUUUUAAUGCAUCUCAGCAUCUGCAACACACUUGCUUGUACUGACCACUGAAACCUUGAACAACCACCAUCUAAGGUUCAACUAAGGAGCGCUGGUACAACGACACCACCUCCAUACUUAGAUUAAUUAUAUAUGGUCAGGCUUUUUGUUUGUCUGUGCACACAAGUACUUGUGGAAUUAUUGUGACACCACAAUAGAUGAGUUCAAAUUGGGAUAAAAGCACUCUCACGAGGAGGGCAAAGUUUCCUGCUAGGGGCAGCAGCACAAUCCUCAAAAUGCAUCAUAUACACCUUGCCUCAAAUUAACUGAAUGCAGUGAACAGCGAGACCGUGGACAAAUAAUUCAGCAAUCCAUGCUAAUGAUCCAAGAAAGUCUUCAUACUAAGUUGUCAAUGUGCAUUUUCCUAAUGCAUCAAUUAACUGAAAUAGUGAAGAUCAUGUAGAACUAUGAACUAAUAAUUUUAGUAAACCUUGCUAAUGAACCAAGAAAUUUUUUAUACUAAGUUGUUAAUUUGCAUGCCCGUAAGACUUCAAUUAAUUGAAUCGAGGGAACAUUAUGUUGCGCUCUAAACUACUGAGUAAGAAAGACAUGCUAAUGACACAAGAAAGCUAUCAUACUAAGCUUCUGAUGUGCAUACUCGUAAUGGGUCAAUUAUCUGAAUCGAGUGACCAUCAUGCUGCACUUGAAACUAGUAUAAUUCAGCAAGCCAUGCUAAUGAUCGAAGAAUUUUUUUUAUACAAAUUUGUUAAUAUGAACUAGUAUAAUUCAGGCGAUGAAUUAAUUUUGGUCGAUCUGCAGUAUGGUAGUAAUUCAGAGCAAGAUGAUGUUUGGUUUGAUGGCUCAGCUCGGGCAAGAAAGUGGUGCUUAGUCUGAGAGUCUUGUGCUGGAUGGAGCAUCAACAUUUCUGUCUUUCUUUGUUUUGUGCAAAACAGGACAUUCAGAAAUCACCAAAGAUUGUUGUAAUUGCAUGUUUCUAUGUGAAAUACAAAAUACUUGAAGACAUUUGAUUCUUCCUGACGCGUUAUGUUGCCGAAAUUUCUAAUGAAAA